GCAGGGUGAGUCGGCCCCUAAGGCGAGGCAGAGAUGCGUAGCUGAUGGGAAGCUGGUUAAUAUUCCAGCACCGUCGUACAGUGCGAUGGGGGGACGGAUCGCGGAAGGUCAUCAGGGUGUUGGACGUCCCUGUUGCUGCAUUGAAGAUGGCGCUUAGGCAAAUCCGGGCGCGAGAAUCAAGGGUGUGGCACGAGCGAGCAAGUCUCGCGAAGUGAUUGGAAGUGGUUCCAAGAAAAGCCUCUAAGCUUCAGCUGUACGAGACCGUACCGCAAACCGACACAGGUGGACGGGAUGAAUAUUCCAAGGCGCUUGAGAGAACUCAGGAGAAGGAACUCGGCAAAUUGAUACCGUAACUUCGGGAGAAGGUAUACCCUGGUAGUGUGAAGCGCCUGCGCGCUGAGCAUGAAGGGGUCGCAGAGAAUCGGUGGCUGCGACUGUUUAUUAAAAACACAGCACUCUGCAAAGACGAAAGUCGACGUAUAGGGUGUGACGCCUGCCCGGUGCCGGAAGGUUAAGUGAUGGGGUGCAAGCUCUUGAUCGAAGCCCCGGUAAACGGCGGCCGUAACUAUAACGGUCCUAAGGUAGCGAAAUUCCUUGUCGGGUAAGUUCCGACCUGCACGAAUGGCGUAACGAUGGCCACACUGUCUCCUCCUGAGACUCAGCGAAGUUGAAGUGUUUGUGAUGAUGCAAUCUACCCGCGGCUAGACGGAAAGACCCCAUGAACCUUUACUGUAGCUUUGCAUUGGACUGUGAACCGGCCUGUGUAGGAUAGGUGGGAGGCGCAGAACUCGAGUCGCCAGAUUCGAGGGAGCCAUCCUUGAAAUACCACCCUGGUUUGUUUGCGGUUCUAACCUUGGUCCGUUAUCCGGAUCGGGGACAGUGCAUGGUAGGCAGUUUGACUGGGGCGGUCUCCUCCCAAAGCGUAACGGAGGAGUUCGAAGGUACGCUAGGUACGGUCGGAAAUCGUGCUGAUAGUGCAAUGGCAUAAGCGUGCUUGACUGUGAGACUGACAAGUCGAACAGGUGCGAAAGCAGGACAUAGUGAUCCGG
RNAcentral lists this ribosomal RNA (1049 nucleotides) under Bordetella bronchiseptica D756. RNAcentral's name for it is "bacterial LSU rRNA". It matches the Rfam family "Bacterial large subunit ribosomal RNA", at positions 1374 to 2423 of the family's 2925-position model. Lineage: Bacteria; Pseudomonadati; Pseudomonadota; Betaproteobacteria; Burkholderiales; Alcaligenaceae. The record is from RNAcentral.